Molecule: ribosomal RNA, 467 nt
Filed under: uncultured bacterium
Lineage: Bacteria
Description: partial 16S ribosomal RNA
Rfam family: Bacterial small subunit ribosomal RNA
Source: RNAcentral
GAUGAACGCUGACAGAAUGCUUAACACAUGCAAGUCAACUUGAAUUUGGGUUUUUAACUUAGGUUUGGGUGGCGGACGGGUGAGUAACGCGUAAAGAACUUGCCUCACAGCUAGGGACAACAUUUGGAAACGAAUGCUAAUACCUAAUAUUAUGAUAAUAGGGCAUCCUAUAAUUAUGAAAGCUAUAAGCGCUGUGAGAGAGCUUUGCGUCCCAUUAGCUAGUUGGAGAGGUAACGGCUCACCAAGGCGAGGAUGGGUAGCCGGCCUGAGAGGGUGAUCGGCCACAAGGGGACUGAGACACGGCCCUUACUCAUACGGGAGGCAGCAGUGGGGAAUAUUGGACAAUGGACCGAGAGUCUGAUCAAGCAAUUCUGUGUGCACGAUGAAGUUUUUCGGAAUGUAAAGUGCUUUCAGUUGGGAAGAAACAAAUGACGGUACCAACAGAAGAAGUGACGGCUAAAUACGUG